GAUGAAUGCUGGCGGCGUGCCUAACACAUGCAAGUCGAGCGGUAACAUGCUCUGAACUAGCUUUUUCUCUCCCUCUGAGACAGGAGUAGGGAUUUUAUUCAUAAAAUUCCGUCUUCCAAUCAAAAGGAUGAAGCGCCUAGGCGUAGAGGAGAAGGUUGUUCAGAGUGAUGACGAGCGGCGGACGGCUGAGUAACGCGUGGGAAUUUGCCCCAAAGUGAGGAAUAAGCACCGGAAACGGUGUCUAAUGCCGCAUAUGGUCUUCGGAUUAAAGUCUUCGGACGCUUUGGGAGAAGCCCGCGUUGGAUUAGGUUGUUGGUGAGGUAAUGGCUCACCAAGCCGACGAUCCAUAGCUGGUCUGAGAGGAUGAUCAGUCAGACUGGAACUGAGACACGGUCCAGACUCCUACGGGAGGCAGCAGUGAGGAAUCUUCCACAAUGGGCGAAAGCCUGAUGGAGCAACGCCGCGUGCAGGAUGAAGGCCUUCGGGUCGUAAACUGCUUUUAUGAGUGAAGAAUAUGACGGUAACUCAUGAAUAAGCACCGGCUAACUACGUGCCAGCAGCCGCGGUCAUACGUAGGGUGCAAGCAUUAUCCGGAGUGACUGGGCGUAAAGAGUUGCGUAGGCGGUUAGUUAAGUGAAUAGUGAAAUCUGGUGGCUCAACCAUACAGACUAUUAUUCAAACUGGCUAACUCGAGAGUAGUAGAGGUAACUGGAAUUUCUUGUGUAGGAGUGAAAUCCGUAGAUAUAAGAAGGAACACCAAUGGCGUAGGCAGGUUACUGGGCUAUCUCUGACGCUAAGGCACGAAAGCGUGGGGAGCGAACCGGAUUAGAUACUCGGGUAGUCCACGCCGUAAACGAUGGAUACUAGCUGUAGGAGGUAUCGACCCCUUCUGUAGCGAAGCUAACGCGUUAAGUAUCCCGCCUGUGGAGUACGGCCGCAAGGCUAAAACAUAAAGGAAUUGACGGGGACCCGCACAAGCGGUGGAUUAUGUUCUUUAAUUCGAUGAUAACCGAAGAACCUUACCAGGGCUUGACAUCCAGGGAAGGACUACGAAAGUAGUUUGUGCCUUUUGGAACCCUGCGACAGGUGAUGCAUGGCCGUCGUCAGCUCGUGUCGUGAGAUGUUAGGUUAAGUCCUUCAACGAGCGCAACCCUUAUUGUCAGUUGGAUUUUUCUGGCAAGACUGCCCCGGUAACGGGGAGGAAGGAGGGGAUGAUGUCAGGUCAGUAUUUCCCUUACGUCCUGGGCUAGAAACGUAAUACAAUGGCUAGUACAAUGCGCAGCGAAAGCCGCGAGGUGAAGCAAAUCGCAUCAAAGCUAGUCCCAGUUCGGAUUGCAGGCUGAAACUCGCCUGCAUGAAGUCGGAAUCGCUAGUAAUCGCAGAAUCAGCAAGCUGCGGUGAAUACGUUCCCGGGUCU
RNAcentral lists this ribosomal RNA (1417 nucleotides) under uncultured bacterium. RNAcentral's name for it is "bacterial SSU rRNA". It matches the Rfam family "Bacterial small subunit ribosomal RNA", at positions 28 to 1381 of the family's 1533-position model. The record is from RNAcentral.